Molecule: ribosomal RNA, 428 nt
Filed under: uncultured Methanolinea sp.
Lineage: Archaea; Methanobacteriati; Methanobacteriota; Methanomicrobia; Methanomicrobiales; Methanoregulaceae
Description: bacterial SSU rRNA
Rfam family: Archaeal small subunit ribosomal RNA
Source: RNAcentral
ACUCAACGCCGGGAAACUCACCAGAUAAGACAGCUGAAUGAUAGUCGGGCUGAAGACUCUACUUGACUAGCUGAGAGGAGGUGCAUGGCCGUCGUCAGUUCGUACUGUGAAGCAUCCUGUUAAGUCAGGCAACGAGCGAGACCCACGCCCACAGUUGCCAGCGUACUCUCCGGAGUGACGGGUACACUGUGGGACCGCCGCUGCUAAAGCGGAGGAAGGAAUGGGCAACGGUAGGUCAGUAUGCCCCGAAUAUCCCGGGCUACACGCGAGCUACAAUGGUUGGUACAAUGGGUAUCUACCCCGAAAGGGGACGGGAAUCUCCUAAAACCAAUCUUAGUUCGGAUUGAGGGCUGCAACUCGCCCUCAUGAAGCUGGAAUCCGUAGUAAUCGCGUUUCAACAGAACGCGGUGAAUACGUCCCUGCUCCUU